This 468-nucleotide ribosomal RNA is filed under the name uncultured bacterium. RNAcentral describes it as "partial 16S ribosomal RNA". It matches the Rfam family "Bacterial small subunit ribosomal RNA", at positions 28 to 507 of the family's 1533-position model. The record is from RNAcentral.
GACGAACGCUGGCGGCGUGCUUAACGCAUGCAAGUCGAACGGAAAGGCUCCAGCUUGCUGGAGUACUCGAGUGGCGAACGGGUGAGUAACACGUGGGUGAUCUGCCCUGCACUUCGGGAUAAGCCUGGGAAACUGGGUCUAAUACCGGAUAGGACCGCACUUUGGUGUGUGUGGUGGAAAGGUUUUUCUGGUGUGGGAUGAGCUCGCGGCCUAUCAGUUUGUUGGUGGGGUAAUGGCCUACCAAGACGGCGACGGGUAGCCGGCCUGAGAGGGUGGACGGUCACAUUGGGACUGAGAUACGGCCCAGACUCCUACGGGAGGCAGCAGUGGGGAAUAUUGCACAAUGGGGGAAACCCUGAUGCAGCGACGCCGCGUGGGGGAUGAAGGCCUUCGGGUCGUAAACUCCUUUCGCUAGGGACGAAGCUUUUUGUGACGGUACCUGGAGAAGAAGCACCGGCUAACUACGUG